GGCCACAUCACGUUGAAAUACCGGUUCCCGUACGAUCAUUGAAGUUAAGCAACGUAGAUCCUGGUCAGUACCUAGAUGGGUGUCCGCUUGGAAAUACCAAGUGCUGUAA
Molecule: ribosomal RNA, 109 nt
Filed under: Acanthosepion pharaonis
Lineage: Eukaryota; Metazoa; Mollusca; Cephalopoda; Sepiida; Sepiidae
Source: RNAcentral